Molecule: ribosomal RNA, 445 nt
Filed under: uncultured bacterium
Lineage: Bacteria
Description: bacterial LSU rRNA
Rfam family: Bacterial large subunit ribosomal RNA
Source: RNAcentral
CGGUGGAUGCCUUGGCGAUGAGAGGCGAAGAAGGACGUGGACAGCUGCGAUAAGCUGAGGGGAGCCGCUCACAGGCUAUGAUCCUCAGAUCUCCGAAUGGGGCAACCCACCAGUCAGCGAUGGCUGGUAUCCUGAUGCUGAAUUCAUAGGCGUCAGGGAGCGAACCCGGGGAAGUGAAACAUCUCAGUACCCGGAGGAAAAGAAGACAAGACAGUGACUCCCCUAGUAGCGGCGAGCGAACGGGGACGAGGCCAAACCGGAAGUAGUGAUACUCCCGGGGUUGUAGGGCCUGCGAUAUCGCAUUCGAAGUCGCGAGCGAAACAGACUUGGAACGGUCGGCCAUAGAGGGUGACAGCCCCCUUUCGCAAAGUGACGACGAGCGUAGCAGGUACCUGAGUACCGCAGGACACGUGUAAUCCAGCGGGAACUCCGGCGGGACCAUCCG